RNAcentral lists this ribosomal RNA (513 nucleotides) under uncultured bacterium. Its description in RNAcentral is "partial 16S ribosomal RNA". It matches the Rfam family "Bacterial small subunit ribosomal RNA", at positions 30 to 523 of the family's 1533-position model. The record is from RNAcentral.
AUUGAACGCUGGCGGCGUGCCUAAUACAUGCAAGUCGAGCGGACCAAAGAGAGCUUGCUCUCUGAGGUUAGCGGCGGACGGGUGAGUAACACGUGGGUAACCUGCCUGUAAGACGGGGAUAACUUCGGGAAACCGAAGCUAAUACCGGAUGAUAAAGAGAAACGCCUGUUUCUUUUUUGAAAGUCGGCCUUGUGCUGACGCUUACAGAUGGGCCCGCGGCGCAUUAGCUAGUUGGUGAGGUAACGGCUCACCAAGGCGACGAUGCGUAGCCGACCUGAGAGGGUGAUCGGCCACACUGGGACUGAGACACGGCCCAGACUCCUACGGGAGGCAGCAGUAGGGAAUCUUCGGCAAUGGACGAAAGUCUGACCGAGCAACGCCGCGUGAGCGAUGAAGGCCUUCGGGUCGUAAAGCUCUGUUGUCAGAGAAGAACAAGUACCGGAGUAACUGCCGGUACCUUGACGGUACCUGACCAGAAAGCCACGGCUAACUACGUGCCAGCAGCCGCAGUAA